This is a small nucleolar RNA of Homarus americanus (American lobster), 69 nucleotides long. The record is from RefSeq and is a predicted model, not a curated record. NCBI's taxonomy places the organism in Eukaryota, Metazoa, Arthropoda, Malacostraca, Decapoda, Nephropidae.
UUGGAAUGAUGAGUAAAUAUCUCCUGAUUUACGUGAUGGAUGACUCGAGCUUUUUAACACUGACAUAGA